Molecule: non-coding RNA, 910 nt
Organism: Odocoileus virginianus texanus
Lineage: Eukaryota; Metazoa; Chordata; Mammalia; Artiodactyla; Cervidae
Source: RefSeq, a predicted model, not a curated record
UCCACCCAUCUCAACAGUAUUAGGAGGUCUCUGCCUGUUUCCUCUGUCAAUCUGCCUUUGUCGUGGGUCUGUAGCCUGAGGAAGAAAAAGCAGAUCCAAAAAAGGAUCUUAAAAUAUUCGGUGCUCGCUUGCUUCUUCUUUUUUUUCUUUUUUAAGACAAGGUGCUUAAUGUACAAGGUUUUGUAAAAAAAAAAAAAAAAAGAAAGAAACAGCAAGCUGGAACAACAGAAACUAAACACCGUUCUUCAGAGGCUGGAGAAAUCUUCCAGAGGUGACGCAGCCAUAUGCCAGGAGGGCCACAAAGAAAGCGGUGGAGCUGAGGGCCUGCUCGCCCUGCCCCCGCUCCCGCCCCCAUGGACAACAGAUGCCCACCGCGUGUACAUCAAUUCUUCCUGGCCGGGAAUCUCCUAUCAAGACAGGAACAAGCCAGGAACCCACCCCAGCACGCUGUAUACCGCAGGGGCAGGGCCCAGGCUGUUUGAAAAGGGAGGGGAUUUUGUGGCUGCUGUCGUUGCAUUUUAGGCUACAGAGGCCAAGAUGCAGGGAGGGACACCUCCACAAAGGUCUAGCACUCAGGACAACAGGCUGGGCCUCACCAGAAGGGAGGGGCCCCCUCUUCCUGGGGGUGGAACUGGGUAUCGGGAGACCAAAGAGAGGGCGGGUGAGGGGGGCGGUGGGGGACGCGGACAGGAGGCCUGAGCUGAUCGGACUGUGCUCUCCCUCCCUCCCGGCAGUGUGGGCAGGGGCCCCCCACCGCCAUCCAUGAAGGAAUGCUGUCUGUGUCCGUGGGUGCUGCUUUGCGGAGGGAAGACAAGCAGGACAACGAGUUUGUGGCGGAUCUCCCAAACAGCUCACUUCCCAAGCGGACGAGGAAAUAAAAUACAGCGCUGGUUCGCGUGGUGGAUUUUAA